RNAcentral lists this non-coding RNA (30 nucleotides) under Rattus norvegicus (Norway rat). Lineage: Eukaryota; Metazoa; Chordata; Mammalia; Rodentia; Muridae. The record is from RNAcentral.
UACCAUUUGGAGGUUGCUAACAAGUAGGUU